AUAAAUGAAAAAGGAUUCAUUUUAAAACAAGUUAUGAUUCUGGUUAUAUUCAAUGCGAAUUCUGAGUCAACAGAAUUUUCAUCUGUUCUUGUUUAAAUUUUACAGAUAAAGGUUUGGGAUGCACAGGAAAAGAAAUGUACUGGAAUGUUGAUGGGGCACACAGGAAGUGUGAAAUCUCUGUGCCCUCAUCCAAGUAAUCCUGAUCUUGUUGUCUCUGGUUCAAGAGAUGGGUCCUUUGCUAUUUGGGACCUGAGAGGCGGUUCCAGAACUAGACGUGGGGAUAUCUGGAUACCAAUUUAAUGCAUAUUCACUGCAACAUCAAAAGAUACAUUUUACAACUGAGGCAAGAAAUCGGAGAAUUUGGCAUUGUUCCAUGAGAUGCAGCUAGGAUAAAUAAAGCUUGAUGAGACAAUUCUGGU
This is a long non-coding RNA of Vitis vinifera (wine grape), 419 nucleotides long. RefSeq lists it as uncharacterized. The record is from RefSeq and is a predicted model, not a curated record. Lineage: Eukaryota; Viridiplantae; Streptophyta; Magnoliopsida; Vitales; Vitaceae. The transcript has 3 exons.